UACGAAGGGUGCAAGCGUUAUUCGGAAUCACUGGGCGUAAAGGGUGUGUAGACGGUACAUUAAGUUCGUCGUUAAAGGCUCCGGCCUAACCGGAGUAUUGCGAUGAAAACUGGUGAGCUAGAGGGUGAGAGAGAGAAGUGGAAUUCCUGGUGUAGCGGUGAAAUGCGCAGAUAUCAGGAAGAACACCCGUGGCGAAGGCGGCUUUCUGGGACGGUACUGACGCUGAGACGCGAAAGCGUGGGGAGCGAACAGG
RNAcentral lists this ribosomal RNA (253 nucleotides) under uncultured bacterium. Its description in RNAcentral is "partial 16S ribosomal RNA". It matches the Rfam family "Bacterial small subunit ribosomal RNA", at positions 524 to 776 of the family's 1533-position model. The record is from RNAcentral.